GUGAGCGUUCCGGCAGCGAAGUUCGAACGUGGACUGCUGCGCUGGGUCGCGCUCUGUGGAGCUGGUGGGUGCUCCGCUCGCUUUUGGCCCGGCCUGGUGCUGCAGUCCCGGGAGCCGUCGGAGCGCAGUUUCGGUGUGCGGCGGAGGCCGGGUAGCCCUGGAAAGGGGGCUUGGGGGGCUCGGAGUAGCGCUCCGUGUGUCUGCACUGUGGCAGCGGGACUCACCCGGGCGGGAGCGGCCCUUCCUCGGGCGCCGGGCGGCCUGCAGAGGGGUCGGGCUGCGCUCCGUGCCAGAGCGGCACGCGGCGUGGGCUCUGCUGAGCUGCGGCAGAGACAAAGCCCUCCUAACAGACAGAGCACUGCUGGGACGCUGUAGCCCUACAGGGAAAGGCUUUCGCUGCCCCCUAAAGCUGUAGUCCAACCCUGCCGCUGCUCUGCGGGAUGAAGCCCUGAAGGGUGUCCUAUACUGUUAAUGUAAGGGAAGUCGGCGUCAUGCAGUGCGUUUUAUUAUUGCUAGGUGAGGGGGGAUGCACCUUGGUGAGGAGAUGUGCAGUGCUGGAGCUGCCACAAGUGUCCCUUCUGCCUCUAAGAAUGUGUCCUAAGCAGGAUGUGAACCUGCUGGCACUUCUUCACUGCAGGUGCUCGUAGGAUCUCCAGUUCUUGCAGAUUUCAGGAUGACAGCGACUAUGAGGAAGUUCUCGUAUACUAUGAAUUACAUGAAACAAUUGGGACGGGUAAGCAUAAUCCUUGCACAAAAACAGCACGCCUCCCAGUCUGACUCACCACUCUAGAAUUUAUCUGAGAAUAGAUUAACUGCUCUUAUGGGAUCACAGGUUUCACGUGUAUAAACUUGAAACUGAUUUUUGAGACUGGUUGGAAGUUGAUUAUGCUGACCACCUCUUCCUCUAAUUAAAACAUUACACACAAUGUAUGCUAGGUACUCUGCUUUACCUGUAAUAUUAUAUUAGAGAAGAAUUCACACUCAACUUUAAGCAUCUGUAUUUUGAAUUUUAGGUGGUUUUGCAAAGGUAAAACUUGGAUAGCAUCUUCUUACUGGUGAAAAAGUUGCAAUAAAAAUCAUGGACAAAGUUGCUUUAGGGGUAAGCCAAAAGAUAUUUAAAUAUGACAACAUCUUCUGUUGGAGUUGUGGAAUUCUCAAGAACACAGGGAGGUGGUAUAUAGAAAUGCAGCUGACUAGUCUCAUUGCCUUUUGAAGGCUGCUGUAGGAUUGGGAAAUGUUUAACAGAACCACAAACCUUGUUCCUUGUUGUUCAGAGGGCAAUACUCUCUGGCUGCAAGAUGGAGAAAGUUCAACAUUAUUACAUCAACCUUAACCAAAAGCUAAUGGAAAUACUAGAUAGUUUACAUUUCAGCUUUCGCUGAUCUGUGUUCCAGAACUUCUAUGGGAGUAAUGUCAGCCAUUGCUGAGUUGAUGUUGAAUUGUGCACUGUCCCAUACAUGCUUUGACAUUUAAUGUUCCACAAUAGUCAGAUGUGGUACCUGGUAUGUCACGUUAGUUAGCAAUUUCGUAGCUUGCUUUUAUGGUCUCUUAAGGAUGACUUGCCUCAUGUUAAAUCAGAAAUUGAUGCCAUGAAGAACUUAAGUCAUCAACAUGUUUGCUGACUGUAUCAUGUAAUAGAGACAUCAAAGAAAAUAUUCAUGAUCUUAGAGGUAAGAAAUAGUGUUUCUGCCACGCUUAAGGUUACUGUUUUUAUCUUUAGCAGUAGACAAUAAUAUAAAAAUAAAGCUGAAAUGAACUGAUUCUUAAAUAUCUCAGUGGUGAAUGGGAGUUCGAGAUUCAUUGGUUUGAAAAUUAAGUAGAAAAUGUUAUAUAUUCUGUCUUCUUGUAAAAGCCACUCAUCAGCAUUCCCAGUAACUGAACUGGUUUUAAUUCCUAACUUCCAUUUCAGUUUUUAAAAGUAGCAUCUGCAAGGCCUGCAGGACACCAGAGCACCCCACGUUGCUGUCACCUCUUGAGUGAUUUGUGCCACCCAUGACAUGAGUGCUGUGCUUCAGUUACAAAACUGGUCAGAUUUCUUAGCUUGUUUGGUCUGCUACAGUGAUGGCCCAUGGCAGAACUGGAACACUCAUGUACUGCUCUGAUGGAGCACCGGGAUGGAAGACUGUCCUGCAGUGCUGUGCAGUGCUUUCCCUGCUCUUGUUACUUAUCUUUCUCUGAUACAUUCUAAAUACAUUUUCAGACAACUUUACCUUUCUCAUUGCAGUAUUGUCCUGGAGGGGAGCUGUUUGAUUACAUUGGUAAUCAACCAAUUGAGGGUUGGUGAGGGGUCUGGAGCACAGGCCUUAGGAGGAGUGGCUGAAGAAGCUGGGAUUGUUGAGUCUGGAGAAGAGGAGGCUCAGGGGAGACCUCAUUGCUCUCUAUAACUACCUGAAGGGAGGUUGUAGUGAGCUGGGAGUCAGCCUCUUCUCUCGUGUGACUAGUGAUAGGACUAGAGGGAAUGGCUUCAAGCUGCGCCAGGGAAAAUUCAGGCUGGACGUUAGGUAAUACUACUUGUCUGAAAGGGUGGUGCGGCGCUGGAAUGGGCUGCCCAGAGAGGUGGUGGAGUCACCGAGCCUGGUGGUGUUCAAAGAGUGUUUGGAUGCUGUGUUGAGGGACAUGGCUGAGCGGGAACCAUUGGUGAAGGGCGAACGGUUGGACUGGAUGAUCCUGUGGGUCUUUUCCAACCUUAGCGAUUCUAUGAUUCUAUUGUUUCUAAGGAUCACCUUUUGGAGGAGGAAGCUUUUUCUCCACAGAUUUUUCAGCAAUUGCUUUUGUUCACAGUCAGGGUUACGCCCACAGAAACCUCAAACCAGUAUGCCUGAACUGUAGUCAGUCUUUCAUAAAUAAUAAUGAAUGUGUUUUUAUUUUUCCAUUGGGAGACAGUAAGUUAUCCCUUUAUUGUGGUUUAACCUGGCAGGUGGCUAAGCAUCACACAGUACUCCACUCACUCCACUCCUUUCCAGUGGGAUGCAGGAGAGAACUGAAGGGGAAAAAACCAACACAAAGUAGAACUUGUGGGUUGAGAUAAAAUUAUUUACUGAGAUAAGGAAGAGGAAAAUGAUAACAGUUAUGAGGAAUGCAAAAGCAAUUGCCCACCACCUACUAAUCAGUGUCCAGUUAGCCUCCUAGCAGUGGAAGAGAUCCAGAUGAACUCCCACCCCCUUUAAAACUCCUUACACAAUAUGUCAUAUGGUAUGGAAUAUCUCUUCGGCCAGUUUAAGUCAGCUAUCCUAAUUCUGUUCCCUCUCACUUCCUUGGACUCUCAGCUGAGAAUGGCUUUGGCUCUGUACAACACAGCCUAGCAGCAACUAAAAGCAUCAGUGUGCUAUCCACGUUUUUUUUCUAGAACGAAAUCAUGGUAUCAUAGACACUGAAGAAAACAAUUCCACCCCAGCUGAAACUCAGACACCCUUCAUUAUCUUGUGCUUAGAAUUCUUUCACUACAGAAAAUGUUAAUUACUUCUAUUCGAUACUGCAUUCUGCAGCUGAGCUGGAUUUUGUUAUCCUUGAAGAAGUAUAUUCUUCUGAAAGGGGAGUAAAACAUCAUGCUCCCAAUGGGAGUGGAGCAGAGACACAGAUCUGAUAUGAGUGUUGGUUUCACAUUUUCCUUAUGCUCUUUGUUGCAGUUUGUAUCUAGAGAGAACCCCUUGUGGUGUCACUCUGUUGUGUAAACUGCUCUAUUUUUGUGCCUCAAGGAAGAGUGAUCCCUUAAAGAAAUGGUGGUACACAGCAGGUGUGGGGUGAGAUGCAUGCCUCUGGCCUCAUCCUAUACAUUUUCUGCCACUGAAAACUUUAAGCACAGGUUAGGUACUGGAAGGUCUGAGUAUUUCUCCACAAAUGGGUUAGAACUUUGCAUUUUUUAAGUUGCUGAUAUCAUGAGUAAAACAAAUCAUUACAUCACAAGCAUUUUCCUAGGCAUCUUAUGAAAUCCCUAAAAACCUAAAGAACCUUUCCCCUCUGAAAAAUAAAGCAUUGUCUAUACCUUUUGGAAGGAACUGGCUUUCAGCAGAAAAGCUGAUGGAUUCAUAGGUUCAGACUGUAACUUGGUAUGGAGGUGACUUCUAGAGAUUUGUGCCCGAACCUGCUGCUCCAAGCAGUGUGAAAUCAAGUUUCUCAGAGCUUUUUCCACUCUUAACCUCUCCCAGGGAUGAGGCUGCAUGCUCUCUCUGGGCAAUCUGUUCAGUGCUUGAGAAUUUUUUUCCUUAUAUCCAGUCAGCUGAUUCAGUGUAUGACUGUUUUCUGUCACUACCCCAGUGAUUCAAAGAGAAUUACUUGUCCUCAAAUUAUUUUUCCUGGCCAAAGGUAGAGCCUCUUUCAGGUAAUCAGGACCAACUGCUUGUCAUCUCAAUGGUAUAAAGUAAUCUUGCUCUGACCUGUUCAGAACAAAACCAAAGUGAAGUAAUAGGAUACACUGAAUAAGGAAGUAUUAUAUCAGUGUUUCUUCAUAAAGUUUGUAAAGUUAUUGCAUUAAAUAUUGUUCUAAAUGACCAAUGAGCCUCAAACCCAAUAGCUCUUGCAUCACUUCUUACCAAGUUUUGUGUUUGCACAGACAGUUCAUCUUAUAAGAUGACCAGCUGAGGAAAAUAAUGCAUCAUGCCAAGGAUACUGCAUAAGUGAGCAGCUUGGGAUCUGUACAUUUAUACAGUAGUCAUGGUCUUAGUGAGGUCACCUACCGAAUGAAAGCAAAAUAUACAAUGAAGGAAAAUAUACACAGCAGAAGAAGCCUCUGAAGUGUCAUUAUCAGAAGACAUAAACUGUUAAAGCAGAUUAUUCUCUCUAUUUUCUGUGUUAUUCCAGGGAGGCUUUGAUUACCACCUAAUACAUGCUGUGCAAGCCCAGCUUAUGCAGCACCAGAGCUAAUCCAGGGCAAAGUGUACAUUGGCUCAGGGGUGUGUACACCGGUUUUGGUUUUUUGGCUUUGUUUUUUUCCUCUCCUCUCCCCACAGAGCAUUUAAAGGCAGUGGAUACACUCACUUGGUUUCCCUCCCAAAUUCUGAUGGCUUGCAUUGCUCAGCAGUUCUCAGCAGCUGUCAAUGGCCGCAGUUCACACAGCUGGCUGGUUUGUCUCUGGCCCGUCCUGAACUGUCUCCACCAGUUGUUCCCUGCUUUAGGGCUCUACAAAACAGCAACUUCAAAGAUCUCUUUCUACUACAAAGUCCUUAAAAGAGCAAUUUGCUCUGUUAAUUAUCCAUUAUUUGUCAAAUUUUUGUGCAGUCUCAGGAUCUUACAUGUUCUGUCAGACUUGUCUUUAGCUUACAAGCUGUUUAUGAAGACUAGCUUCCACUGUAAUGCACAAUGUACUACAAAUUGAGAGAUGAACAUGUGAAGAGUUUUUCCAGCUUUGAUUUCAUGUCUAGAACUUUGGAACCCACUACUUGCAGUUGUUAAUCUGUCCAAAUUGUUCUAGUUUGGAACACCCUUCUUGAAUUGCUUUGCUGUUGAAGAUGGUGAUUCUUUCAGGUGCCACUGCACCACUGCUGUUGGACUCUAAUUCUUGCUUUGUUUGUUUGUUUUCCACAGACUGCUUUUCAAGCCUCCUUUUUCUUUACAGGCAAAGUGAGAAUUGCAUUGUGAGGUGUAUGAACCUUGUUGUGCCUAUACAUAAACAGAACAGCAGCAGAGCCUCACAGGUGCUGACAUCUCUCAUUGUAGCCAUUAACACAUAACUGUGCCAAAUCCCUUGUGAUGGGUUUGAUUUCAUUUUUGCCAGUGAAAUCCUUGUAGAUAAAAGGUACUGCAGCAGUGUGAUGAGCUAAGAUAAGGAUACUGGUUUUAGUAGUGCUCUAAGUUGAGUGGAAGAACAAUUGAAUUAGGGUUAUAUGCUUUCUCUGGGACUGUAAGGUUUUUUUCCUGAGGGAAAGAGCCAGCUUUUCAUGGGGUACAUGUGGGCUUUGGCAAGGGCAGACAAUACAAUCUGUCAGUAAGCCAUCUUAGGUGCUUCAGGUUUGUAAACUUGUCCUUUUAUUUUUUAGGCAGAUAUUCGGAGCGUGGGUGUACUGCUGUAUGCUCUGUUGUGUGGUUUUCUUCCUUUUGAUGAUGACAAUGUGAUGGACUCUACAGGAGGAUAACAGGUGCCUAACAACCUGAGCUCUCUACAGUGUGGGAUUUGUUAAUCAAAUGACAUGGCACCUCUCCUAUGAAGAAAGACUGAGGGAACUGGGCUCUCACACAGCCCUGCUGAUUGGUGGGUCUGACCAGGACUGGUUCCCAUCACUUACUAACGUAUUGCCCCUAAUGGCCAGGUACACUUAGAGAGGACUCUCCCACAGACUCUUCAGAUGCUAUUAGCUUUGUUGAAUGCAAAAGGCAAGCACUGAUCAUUAAUACAAAUAACAUCUGAGAUCUGCAGAACUAGGAAGGAAACAUAGGAGUUGACAGAGGUGUUAGGACAUCCCUCAUAAAACAGUAUGUCUCCAAAGCUUGAUUUUUUCUGUUAAGCAGUUAUACCUUUAGUCUGCAUCAGGAAUGUAUGAGAACGUGAGCACCAACCACAAUGACAUACAACUAAGCAGCAGUAUCAGAGGAUAGUUCUGUUUGAGCUUUUCUGCACACAAAUGCCCACUAACACCUAGAAAGGGGCUGUGGCUCACGGCAUUGUGCUGCAGGUCUUCCUUCACGAAAGGAACUGUGGUCUGUGCUGUAUAUAAGCCACAUUAUUGGCUUUUUCCUGGAUGAGACUUUCUCAUCCAGAAGCUACAUACAGGGGCUACAACGACCCACAGCCCUUAAUGCAUGAACCAGAAGGAUACAUUCAUCAGAACACUGACUGACCAAGGCAGAAGUCUCCAUCACUUAUUUCUAACUUUAAGUUAUCACUUUGUUGCUCUUCAGGUAGGUAAAGAACUGGAAAUGUUUUCAGUGAAUUUCAAGGGAAGGGUAGAAAUGUUAGUAAACGUUAAUUGUUUCAGAUGCAAAAUGUCAUAAAAGGAGAAACGCCAUUCACAGGAACAUCAAUGACACAGAUCUGACCAACAAAUGCGAGGAAAGGCUGUAAUGCGAGGCAGCCUGGUCAGUCGCAUUAACUGAGAGAUGUGUGCAGAAUGUGUGUCAGUGGUUCAGCCUGGUUCUGUGACUAAUGGGGUGGGGGGACCCACGGGCCUAUGCCUUGAGAUGAGCCUAAGAACAACACAGCGGCAGUGAGGUAAGGGGAAGGUCAUUAUCUUAACAUCCCUUACACUUUAAUGUAAACAGUGAAUACCUUAAAGUGAGGUUUUGCAGGUGCUAUAUGACCAGCACAGCAGUUGAGCUUGAUACUAAUUGAUUAAAUUUAAAAAAAAGGAUAAUAAAUUGAGUUUGAUAAUAGUUAACAGAAGUAUACAUAACAUACAGUUCCAACAAAUUACAGUUUCCUAUCAGAGCUUAAAUAACUUCUGUGUAUGACCCUUCCAGCUGCAAUACUAGGCCUCUGUUUGGUUUCAGCUGUUGAAAUUUCAGCCUGCUAGAUAUCAGAAAUCAGCUAAAGAUGCCAGCACUGCAGCUGAGGGCAGUAACUGGCCCAUACUGGGGCUGCUGGAGUAUCGUGCAAGCUCUGAUUUCUGCUUGCUCGCUCUGCUUUCUUGCAUGAAUUCAAACCUCUCCCAAGAGUUCAGCUUCUCCCUGAGACUUGAUCUGAGUUGCUGUAAGCCUAGAAAAUGGCAGAGCUGGUUGAAUGUGGCAGACUGCUAACAGUCUCAUUAACGUCUAGCAGAGCAGUGUAACGAUCACUCAUCCCAAGUGGCUGAAUAAUUGAAGUUUCUGCUUGUUUUUACAUGCCUUGAGUUUUAACUUAGGAAUUGAACACAAAAGUAACCUCACGUUUUCAUUGUAUUUUAUUUUUUGGCUAAUAUUGCUUGCUGUGAAUGAAUGACAGCUGGUGGUACGACCCAGCAGAACAGGGAAGAAGCAAGAUUCACUAGUGGGAUUUUUGAAACUGAACUAAUCUAUACUAUUAUUAUUCUGUUGUUAUUGUUGCUUUUAUACUGAGAAUUCUGGAAUUCUAUUCCAGCUCAGCACAGAUGGAACUGAGAGGGAGACAGAAAGAAGGCUUAACAAACAGAUAAGCUGUGGGGACAAAGAGGUACAUGGACUGUGUGCCAAGCUUAUGGAUGUACCCACACACAGGGCCAGAAGGUGCGUUUUGCGUCUCUGAGUUCCAACUCAUCAUUUUGCAGGCAGGCAGGUUGCACACAGUCACACAUGAGUCAGAUCUGACAUCGGUUGGUGUGCUAUGCCUGGGAGGCUGUUCUUACUGCUUUCUCUUUGCUAGGAUCCUCUUUUACGCUCCAAAUUUAACUUAUGGUCACUGUAGAUCAAUGUGUUCUUGGCGCUACUGUUAGGUUUAAAUCUUAGCUCUUCCACAUUGCCAUUGCUCUGAGCCCAUAACUAAACUGGGCUUAUAUUUUUUCUAUUCAAAGCUUGAUGUAAACACAAUUCUUCAACUCACUGCUUAAAAAUUCUAACGUAUGAAAUAUUAUUUCUCAUAGAGAAUGCCAUUCUAUUUUUUUCCUCCCUACCUCUUUCUUCGUAACUUGUUCUGUUAGAUGAUUCUGCAGAACAGGCAGGAGAAUAGUAAGGAAUCCUAAAUGCAACAGAAAACUGACAGAGAAACAGUGGCCAGCCUCUGUUAGGACUGGGGCAGAUAUAUGUAAUGGGAGCUGACAGAAAGAUAACUAAAUUUUGAGGAGAAAGGAAAAUUAAAAGGUGUUGACACAUUGAAACUAAACUAGUGCUCGAGUCCACACAGUGAGAGCUGGUAAAAGCACAACUCAAGGACAAGCAGCACAGACCUGUUCUUCAUACUUGUUUAGGGUUGAGGCCAUUAAGUCUACUUGCUUGCUCUUUGCUUUACAUAAAUAAAGUAUUAACUAAGGAAAUUACUAUUCUGACAUGUAUGAUUUAUGAAAAUACUGAAGAGUUGGAAAUACAAGUAGGAAUGCUAUAUGGAAAGCUUCUCAAACAUCUAAAUGCCACUGAGUUUUGUUGAGAGGGACCAAUAAAGUUUAAGCUGCACCAUUAGAACUUAUUUGCCAGUAACAACCAGAUCCUAACAAUAUAGCCUCUGGGUACUUGUGAACGUUAGUAAUACGCUGACUUUAAAGAAGCUUUGCUUGCCACUUCCUUGUCCCCAAAGCCUGAUUAAUACUUGGGAAAUAUUUUCUGUUACCUCAGAACACCUUGCAUACCUUCAUAGAUUCAUUUUGUCAGCAGUACUACUACACGCUGUGUUACACCUUUGUCUGGUUGUGAUUAUGUGAGACCUUACAGUGCUCACUCACAGCCUACACUGAGCUGUUGAAACUUACUCUUGGUAUUUCAAGAAAAGGUACCUCACUGAUCAGUCUCCUACAUAUUUCAUAACUUCAUGGAUUCUCCAAGUUCUGAGCACAGAAUCAGAAUCAGGAUGAAGAUCCUUCUCUUUUGGAACUCUUUUGCCCUGUGUUCUUCAGGUAUCUCAUUCAACUUCUUAUGGGUUUUCCCACUAUCUGCAGUGUUGGUGCCAGGUCAUGCCUCUGCAGCAU
This 9497-nucleotide long non-coding RNA is filed under the name Gallus gallus (chicken). The record is from RNAcentral. Lineage: Eukaryota; Metazoa; Chordata; Aves; Galliformes; Phasianidae.